Molecule: regulatory RNA element, 65 nt
Organism: Flavobacterium fluvii
Lineage: Bacteria; Pseudomonadati; Bacteroidota; Flavobacteriia; Flavobacteriales; Flavobacteriaceae
Rfam family: DUF805 RNA
Source: Rfam
GCACAAUGGAGUUCAGAAACCAAAAAAACGAGGAGUGUCCGAAAAUCCACAAGAGUAGGUGUUAU